UUUCCUCCCAUUGAAGUUGUAGCCUCCCUUGCUUGUGCCCAUCAGAAAAUGAAGCCAAGAUGCCGCUGGAGCUUGAGGUAAGGCCCGACCCUUCUUCCUCUCCCUCUUUCGUUUCUCCUUAUGGCCCCAAGCCUUGUCGUCGACCACCGGCUUUACCGUCGGCCACCGGCUUUGCCAAAAAUUCACACAAAAAAUCUCCUAUGUUCAUGCUU
Molecule: long non-coding RNA, 212 nt
Filed under: Elaeis guineensis (African oil palm)
Lineage: Eukaryota; Viridiplantae; Streptophyta; Magnoliopsida; Arecales; Arecaceae
Description: long non-coding RNA (EGUI_LNC075147)
Source: RNAcentral